RNAcentral lists this ribosomal RNA (746 nucleotides) under Molema stankowskii. RNAcentral's name for it is "partial 16S ribosomal RNA". The record is from RNAcentral. Lineage: Eukaryota; Metazoa; Mollusca; Gastropoda; Stylommatophora; Camaenidae.
CACGAAGUUCAAGGAGCUAAUUAAUCAUAUGUUUUUAGACUUAAAGUGUGUAGUAUAAUAUAUAAUUAAUGUUAAUUAGGGGUGAAAGGCUUUUCAAAUUGAAUGAUAACUUGAUUUUUUUUAAAUGUAUUAAGUACGAUUACAAACUUGGAGUUAUAAGGCCCUAAGUAAGAAUAAAUAAACAAUAGUUUUAAGUAUAAAGUUUAAUAGCGAAUACGUUAAUAUAAUAAUAUUAAACUGUGAAGAAUUAUUGAAAUUAAAUAAAAAUAGGUAAAUUUAAUGAUCUAUUUAUUAUGUUUAUAUUAGUAUUAGAUUGAGUACAAAUAAUGAACUCGGCAAUAUCAUUCUCAACUGUUUAUCAAAAACAUAGCUGGUUGAGAGUAUGAUCGGUGAUUUCUGCUCGGUGAUUUAUUUAACAGCCGCAGUACCCUGACUGUGCAAAGGUAGCGCAAUCAAUUGACUUUUAAUUGAAGUCCUGUAUGAAGAAUUCAUGGGAGUGAGCUGUAUAUUUGUAUAAUUAAAAUUUGCUUAGUAGGUGCAAAAACCUAUAAAAAAUUAAUAGACGAGAAGACCCUAGAAAUUUUAAGAAUUUGUUUAAGAGUCUUUUUGUUGGGGCAACAUAGUAGUGGAAUAUCCUACAUAAUGGACAUAAAAUUAAUUAAGAUGAGGAAAUUACUCUAGGGAUAACAGCAUGAUUUAUUAAAGUUUGUGACCUCGAUGUUGGACUAGGAAGUUAGCGUUUAGAA